CUCCGGCCUCUUCGAAGCUGUUGUAAAUUAUCUCACAUUUAUUGCAGUCAAAUGAUGGCCGAGAAUAAUUUAAUCUUCUUUUUGGUCACUGAUUGACCAUGUGGUCUUUCCGUAUUACCCAAGGAGAUUACAAUU
Molecule: small nucleolar RNA, 135 nt
Organism: Diachasmimorpha longicaudata
Lineage: Eukaryota; Metazoa; Arthropoda; Insecta; Hymenoptera; Braconidae
Source: RefSeq, a predicted model, not a curated record